This is a long non-coding RNA of Lagenorhynchus albirostris (white-beaked dolphin), 399 nucleotides long. RefSeq lists it as uncharacterized. The transcript is spliced from 3 exons. Lineage: Eukaryota; Metazoa; Chordata; Mammalia; Artiodactyla; Delphinidae. The record is from RefSeq and is a predicted model, not a curated record.
GAGGGUACCCAGAGCUAAGCGCUGCCAGCAUCCUGCAGCCGGAGGACGCAUCUGGCAAGAAGGAGAGCCACUAUUUGGCCACCGAGCACCGCUGCUGGAAACCGUUCCUGCUUGAUUCCACCAGCCAUCUCCGUCCACCACCUGGCAAGAGCUGUGCACAAGAGGCUUGGCUCUUAGAGGUGGGGUCAGCCACUUCCUCGGGACUAAAUCUAGCCCGGAGGGCCCCAAACCUUCUGGGGGCCGCCAGCAAUCCUUAGCUGACAGCUGCGUGAUUCCGAUCUCCACCUCCUUCACGCGGCCGUCUCUGUGUUUCGUCUCUGCUCUUCUGUCAUUGGAUUUAUGGCCCACUUGGUUAAUCUGGAAUGUUUUCAUCUCGAAAUCCUUAACCUAAUUACAUCU